This 229-nucleotide ribosomal RNA is filed under the name uncultured bacterium. RNAcentral describes it as "partial 16S ribosomal RNA". It matches the Rfam family "Bacterial small subunit ribosomal RNA", at positions 568 to 796 of the family's 1533-position model. The record is from RNAcentral.
UGCGUAGGCGGCCUGGUAAGUCAGAGGUGAAAUCCUACAGCUUAACUGUAGAACUGCCUUUGAAACUGUCAGGCUCGAAUAGAGUUGGGGUUAGCGGAAUGUGACAUGUAGCGGUGAAAUGCAUAGAUAUGUCAUAGAACACCAAUUGCGAAGGCAGCUAACUGGGCUUUUAUUGACGCUGAGGCACGAAAGCGUGGGGAGCGAACAGGAUUAGAUACCCUGGUAGUCC